This 371-nucleotide ribosomal RNA is filed under the name uncultured eukaryote. Its description in RNAcentral is "partial 18S ribosomal RNA". It matches the Rfam family "Eukaryotic small subunit ribosomal RNA", at positions 592 to 976 of the family's 1831-position model. The record is from RNAcentral.
CAAUAGCGUAUAUUAAAGUUGUUGCAGUUAAAAAGCUCGUAGUUGAAUUUCUGUCAGGAGUGACCGGGCCUUUGGAUGAACUUCCAUUGUUUUUUGCUCUGUUUGUCAUCUCUAGACAUCCUGAAAUAUUUUUUAAAAAUAUUUCUCUUUUACUGUUAGCAAAAUAGAGUGUUCCAAGCAAAGCGUAGUUUUGAAUACAUUAGAAUGGAAUAAUAAGAUAGGACUUUGGUGCUAUUUUGUUGGUUUGCACACCAAGGUAAUGAUUAAUAGGGACAGUUGGGGGUAUUCGUAUUUAAUUGUCAGAGGUGAAAUUCUUGGAUUUAUGAAGGACGAACUACUGCGAAAGCAUUUACCAAGGAUGUUUUCAUUAA